Molecule: long non-coding RNA, 363 nt
Organism: Hipposideros armiger (great roundleaf bat)
Lineage: Eukaryota; Metazoa; Chordata; Mammalia; Chiroptera; Hipposideridae
Exons: 4
Source: RefSeq, a predicted model, not a curated record
GGAAAAUGCCUUGAGCAUGUACAUCUAGAAAUGUGAGACUCUUCUGAAGUUAAUUACUAUGGGGGUGGCUUCUGAGGUCGAGCUACUGCUGUUUACAAAAAUGGAGUUUGGGUUUUGAAUGAAUGAGAGUGUACGAGUUCUCAUAGCAGAUUUGCAGAAUGGGACAAGAAGAGAAACAAGAUCAUUCCAGGAGGGGUUCCUGGCACUGUUCACAAUUUCACUUGAGGAGGGGGAAUUUCUUCAUCCAGCAGCCCAUCUAUCUCUGUUCCUGCCCUUGGCCUCCUCUCCCAGCCCACUGAAGACACGCAGACUUGGAGACCAGGUGGUGCUUGAGAGAGAAGGCUAAGAUCAUGAUGGUCCUGG